GAUAAAAUAAAUGACAUAUUACAAUAGGCGUAAUCUUUUGUAAGCGAGCGACAAACAGAACACUCGUUUAAAUGUCCAUUUACACGCGAAACAACAACACAACUCUAGUAAUAUAUACGAGUUAAUUUCAACUCGUAUAAUGAUAGACGACUUGGAUCGGUAUGCUGCCAAGUUCAAUUAUUGCACCAUUAUGAAUGAUUCUGGAAGGAUGGAAAAAACUACAUGAAGGAGGUGGACACGGGAGGAAUCUGAGGGUUUUUGGCGGCGCUACUUGGCUCGCAAAGCCGAAUGUGAGCACCCAAACAAAAAGCGUCAGGCAUACGCUAAAACACUUGAGGAUAUGAUAUCCGUAGGCAUUACGGAUUCUGGGAGGGGAGGAUGCGCACUUUGCUGCAAGCUUAUAAGGCAGCACGCGACAACAACAACCGCACAGGUUCUUCUCCGUGUUUCGCCCCGUACAUGGAGCUAAUGGAUGAGAUAUUUGGGAUCAGCACCAAUAUAUCUAACUCCCAUACACUGCAAUUGCGGGAGGGCCCUGUGCAAAUGUUAGGGGAGAAUUCGCCCAUACCGGCACCCUCAACUCCGCUAUCACAGCAGUCCCCAAACUCGUCAACAUUAUCGUCCCUGUCACAGUCGCCACUCCCCUCAAUAUCAUGUCCAUCAAUGUCUCCACUCCUGCUAAAAGGAAACGUUCGGCGCGCGAACUUUAUUAUGACGAAAAAUUGAAGCUAAAGUAAAAACCAUUUGAACAAAACAAGCAACAACGAGAAGAAAAGUUUGCAGCAAUGCAGGACGAAGCAGAAAUUGGAAAAGGACAGGUAAGUGGAAUUGAAAAAACUGCAAUUACUAGAAUAUAUUAUAAACAAAAUGUAAUUGAUUUAUUAUUUAAACUAUGUUCACAUUACGGCGUAAAUUACUUUGUUUCGAUCAAAUUACUUCACAUAAAUCAAGUAAGUUCACAUUUUCUUGUAUAAAUUCUAUAGCAUUUCGUACGAGUGCGUGGUUUGCACUUGAUUUCAAAAAACAAAUGGUUGCAUAGCUUUAGGAAUUUUUUUCAAAUUUCCCUAAAGCUGCCUUUACAUGAGGUGAUUUUUUGACAGACGAUAAUCGCCGGCAAAAGUUGACUUGCUGUCUACUUUGAGGCAAGCGAUUUUUGAAUAACCAUUUCCACGAGCGAUUUUUCCAGAGCAAUGUUGAAUCGCCUGGAAAAUCGCCUCAUGUAAAGGCA
Molecule: long non-coding RNA, 1228 nt
Organism: Rhagoletis pomonella (apple maggot)
Lineage: Eukaryota; Metazoa; Arthropoda; Insecta; Diptera; Tephritidae
Exons: 3
Source: RefSeq, a predicted model, not a curated record